GCCAGAUGUGGUGGCGUGGACCGCUAGUCCCAGCUACUCGGGAGGCUGAGGUGGGGGGAUUGCUUGAACCCAGGAGCUCUGGGCUGUAGUGCACUAAGCCGACCGGGUGUCCACUAAGUUCGGCAUCAAUAUGGUGACCUCCCAGGAGCUGAAGACCACCAGGUUGCCUAAGGAGGGGUGAACCGGCCCAGGUCAGAAAUGGAGCAGCUCAGAACUCCCAUGCUGAUCAGCAGUGGGACCCCACCUGUGAAUAGCCACUGCACUCCAGCCUGGGCAACAUAGCAAGACCCCAUCUUU
RNAcentral lists this signal recognition particle RNA (297 nucleotides) under Prolemur simus (greater bamboo lemur). Its description in RNAcentral is "Metazoan signal recognition particle RNA (ENSPSMG00000020556.1)". It matches the Rfam family "Metazoan signal recognition particle RNA". From Rfam's summary of the family: The signal recognition particle (SRP) is a universally conserved ribonucleoprotein. It is involved in the co-translational targeting of proteins to membranes. The record is from RNAcentral. Lineage: Eukaryota; Metazoa; Chordata; Mammalia; Primates; Lemuridae.